AUUAUGUUGAAGAACCACCAAUUGGACUGGUGGUAUUGGCUUAUUGGCUUGCUGUCUCACUUAUUGUCCAGUUCUCCACUUGUUCUAACUCCCUUCAAUUUGUGGAUUUGUUUAAAUUUGCAUUUUCCAACUGUUGAAUUUGCUUUGGUAAAACCGCCUUAAAUGGUAUCCUCAUUUUCAUUGCCCUUUAGGUGUACAAAACUCCAUGGGGUGCUCAUGUUACUUAAUAUAGAUGUUGACACUUCCUAGAUUGUAGGGAAUAUAAACUGACAGAAAAGAAUACAAUUUUGAGUUCUUUUCUCAAUCAAAAGCAAUAAAAAACUACUGAGAUACAUUUAUCUUUUAGAGUGAAUUUAUUGCCAUGUAUUAGUAUUCCAUUGUCAUUCUCGUUUGGAGUGGGAAGAUUAAAAUUAGUGGUCUCAUGUCACAGAGGAUGCCUUUUCUUACUACCUAGGUUUCGAUUCUUAUAUGCAGGAAAAAGAAAAGGCGGCUGAAGAGCAUAAGCAGAAUAUCGCAUAGUAUAGAAAAUUCCUGGAAUCUUGUGACUUUAUUAAGGUGAACAGCCAGUGGCGGAAAGUUCAAGAUCGCUGAGAGGAUGAUGAGAGAUGCUUGCAUCUUGAAAAACUUGACAGGUUGCUCAUUUUCCAGGACUAUAUUUGCGACCUUGAGAAGGAAGAAGAGGAGCAAAAUAAGGUACAAAAGGAACAAUUGUUGCGGGUUGAGAGGAAAACCGCGAUGAGUUUCGAAAGCUGAUGGAAGAACAUGUUGCCGACGGUACUCUUACAGCUAAAACUCACUGGCUCGAUUACUGCAUGAAGGUUAAAGACCUGUCUUCGUAUGAAGCUGUUGCAUCUAAUACCUCUGGUUCAACACCAAAAGAAUUGUUUGAGGAUGUUGCUGAAGAAUUAGAGAAACAGGUGUGUAACCUAGCAUCUUAUACCAUCAUGUCUUGAUCCAUUAAUCAUCUGUAUUUUAGCUAAUGUUGAGAAUCGAAUUCGACAUUGUGAAUGUAAAUAUAAUGUGAUUUGUCAAUGCAAUUGGCAAACAGGUAGUGCCAUUUGCAUUCCAGUCGUGCAAUUGACAAAGAAAGUAGUCUCAUUUGCAAUCCAGUUGAGCAAUUGCCAUUAUAUGUGCUCAAUUAAUUGAAAAUGUAAAUACAAUAUGUGAUUUGUCAAUGCAAUUGACAAACAUGUAGUGUAAUUUGCAUUCUAGUCAAGCAAUUGACAAUCAAAGUAGUCUCAUUUGCA
This is a non-coding RNA of Prunus avium (sweet cherry), 1247 nucleotides long. Lineage: Eukaryota; Viridiplantae; Streptophyta; Magnoliopsida; Rosales; Rosaceae. The record is from RefSeq and is a predicted model, not a curated record.